Molecule: long non-coding RNA, 570 nt
Filed under: Ananas comosus (pineapple)
Lineage: Eukaryota; Viridiplantae; Streptophyta; Magnoliopsida; Poales; Bromeliaceae
Description: long non-coding RNA (ACOM_LNC039083)
Source: RNAcentral
CUUGACUGGGCCUUUUUUGAUAAAUAAAAAAAAGAGAAAACUUCAAAAUAGACUUCUCCUUUCUUACUUUCUCACUUUAGUAUCCUAUGGUUUAAAGUGUAUCAAUUUGUCCCCCUGUGGUUUCGUUUUUUUUCUUUUUAUUAUCAAUUUUAUUUUAUUUUUUCUUAAAUCGGUGACAAAGUUAAAAUUAAAUGGUACUAAAGUGAAUAUAUAUUCGAUAAAUCUAGAUGGAUAUCUGUAGUUUAAAAUGUAUCAAUUUAUUUUUCUACCGUUUUAUUUUUAUCUUUUCGGAAGCUUUUUCGUUAAUAUUUCGUUAAAUUAUAUACAAAAAACUUCAGAUAACCAUCUAUAUUUAUCGAAUAGUCACUUUAGUAUUCUUUAAUUUUAACUUUGUCACUGAUUUUAAAAAAAAAAAAUAAUAAAAUUGAUAACAAAAAGAUAAAAACGAAACCACAGGGGAGCAAAUUGAUACGUUUUAAACCACAGAGUAGCAGAGUGAGAAUGCACGAAACCACAUGGGGAGUUUUUGAAGUUUUUCCUUAAUUUAAUGUGCUUUAAUAAAGUUUGGGG